GAAGGCAGCUCACUGGGCCGCUAUCGACGCUGAGGAGCGAAAGCUAGGGGAGCAAACAGGAUUAGAUACCCUGGUAGUCCUAGCUGUAAACGAUGGAUACUAGACGUAGGAACUGGAUUGACGGUUUCUGUGUCGCAGCUAACGCGUUAAGUAUCCCGCCUGGGGAGUACGGUCGCAAGACUAAAACUCAAAGGAAUUGACGGGACCCCGCACAAGCGGCGGAGCAUGCGGCUUAAUUCGAUGAUACCCGUAGAACCUUACCUGGACUUGACAUAUAGGGUCUAGCUAUAGAGAUAUAGUGUGCAUUAGCGCCCUAUACAGGUGGUGCAUGGCUGUCGUCAGCUCGUGUUGUGAGAUGUUGGGUUAAGUCCCGCAACGAGCGCAACCCCUGUCCUAUGUUGCCAGCAUUUAGUUGGGGACUCAUAGGAGACUGCCGGUGAUAAACCGGAGGAAGGUGGGGACGACGUCAAGUCAUCAUGCCCCUUAUGUCCAGGGCUGCACGCAUGCUACAAUGGCAAGUACAACGAGUUGCAAUACCGCGAGGUGGAGCAAAUCUCUUAAAGCUUGUCUCAGUUCGGAUAGGAGUCUGCAACUCGACUCCUUGAAGUUGGAGUCGCUAGUAAUCGCAAAUCAGCAAAGUUGCGGUGAAUACGUUCUCGGGGUUUGUACACACCGCCCGUCAAGUCACGGAAGUCGGCAAUACCCGAAGCCAGUGGUCCAACCCUUUUGGGAGGAAGCUGUCGAAGGUAGGGUCGGUAACUGGGACUAAGUCGUAACAAGGUAGCC
This 786-nucleotide ribosomal RNA is filed under the name uncultured marine microorganism. RNAcentral's name for it is "bacterial SSU rRNA". It matches the Rfam family "Bacterial small subunit ribosomal RNA", at positions 717 to 1501 of the family's 1533-position model. The record is from RNAcentral.